GAGCUGAAACAACUAAUCGAUUUAAUCGAUUAUAAUCGAUUAUUAAAAUAGUUAACAACUUUUUUAGUCAUCGAUUAGUUGUUUAAUAAUCAUAUUUUACCGCAUAAAGUCUAUUUUUUACCACAAUCUGACAUCGGUUACAAUCUGUUAAAUUUGCCGCCAGUGUGUGGCAGUAAUGAGCCACUGAUCUACCAGUGGGGCCGUAGAAGAAGAAAUGAGCCAAUAAGUGCCCUCGGUUUUCAUGACGUAUCACGUUACUGACGCGCAUCUUGCUGUGAGAGAUGGCGGAUCAACAACAAAUACGGAAGAAAAAUAGAAGCGACAAAACAAGAGAAACCCCGGACAAAAACCUCACGAGUAUGGGAGCACUUCACUAGAUGCCUUGAAAAGACCGGUGACCUACAAAAUAUGCAAAAACCAUGGCACGACGGAAGCACGACGUCCCAAAGUGAACAUUUGAGACGAAAACGUGGGGGCUGAUGCAGCAGAGGAAUGUCCGAAAAAAACAAGCAGCGAUGGAGAACUACAUGGGGAACAAGACACUCACCCCCAGCAAUGCAUACCACUUACAAACUCUAUUCCAGAUUCUACAUUAUUUUUUAUGGAAUUUACCUCUUAUAUUUUGAUGCCAAAAAAUUAUUCUGGACUGAUAUUUUGCACUGUUUAGCUCAUUUUACACUGCUGACUGUGGUCAUGUGCAAUAAAAUAGAUUGCAGUCAACUGCACAA
This is a non-coding RNA of Nothobranchius furzeri (turquoise killifish), 728 nucleotides long. NCBI's taxonomy places the organism in Eukaryota, Metazoa, Chordata, Actinopteri, Cyprinodontiformes, Nothobranchiidae. The record is from RefSeq and is a predicted model, not a curated record.